This 584-nucleotide ribosomal RNA is filed under the name uncultured bacterium. RNAcentral describes it as "bacterial SSU rRNA". It matches the Rfam family "Bacterial small subunit ribosomal RNA", at positions 338 to 916 of the family's 1533-position model. The record is from RNAcentral.
CCUACGGGAGGCAGCAGUGGGGAAUUUUGGACAAUGGGCGCAAGCCUGAUCCAGCCAUGCCGCGUGCGGAAGAAGGCCUUCGGGUUGUAAACCGCUUUUGUCAGGGAAGAAACGCUCUGGGUUAAUACCUCGGGUAAUGACGGUACCUGAAGAAUAAGCACCGGCUAACUACGUGCCAGCAGCCGCGUUAAUACGUAGGGUGCAAGCGUUAAUCGGAAUUACUGGGCGUAAAGCGUGCGCAGGCGUCUUGUAAGACAGAGGUGAAAUCCCCGGGCUUAACCUGGAACUGCCUUUGUGACUGCAAGGCUUGAGUGCGGCAGAGGGGGAUGGAAUUCCGCGUGUAGCAGUGAAAUGCGUAGAUAUGCGGAGGAACACCGAUGGCGAAGGCAAUCCCCUGGGCCUGCACUGACGCUCAUGCACGAAAGCGUGGGGAGCAAACAGGAUUAGAUACCCUUGGUAGUCCACGCCCUAAACGAUGUCAACUAGUUGUUCGGUGAGGAGACUCAUUGAGUAACGCAGCUAACGCGUGAAGUUGACCGCCUGGGGAGUACGGCCGCAAGGUUAAAACUCAAAGGAAUUGACGG